UACACACCGCCCGUCGCUACUACCGAUUGAAUGGCUCAGUGAGGCGUCCGGACUGGCCCAGAGAGGUGGGCAACUACCAUUCAGGGCCGGAAAGCUCUCCAAACUCGGUCAUUUAGAGGAAGUAAAAGUCGUAACAAGGUCUCCGUUGGUGAACCAGCGGAGGGAUCAUUACCGAGUUUACAACUCCCAAACCCAAUGUGAACCAUACCAAACUGUUGCCUCGGCGGGGUCACGCCCCGGGUGCGUCGCAGCCCCGGAACCAGGCGCCCGCCGGAGGGACCAACCAAACUCUUUCUGUAGUCCCCUCGCGGACGUUAUUUCUUACAGCUCUGAGCAAAAAUUCAAAAUGAAUCAAAACUUUCAACAACGGAUCUCUUGGUUCUGGCAUCGAUGAAGAACGCAGCGAAAUGCGAUAAGUAAUGUGAAUUGCAGAAUUCAGUGAAUCAUCGAAUCUUUGAACGCACAUUGCGCCCGCCAGUAUUCUGGCGGGCAUGCCUGUCCGAGCGUCAUUUCAACCCUCGAACCCCUCCGGGGGUCCGGCGUUGGGGAUCGGGAACCCCUAAGACGGGAUCCCGGCCCCGAAAUACAGUGGCGGUCUCGCCGCAGCCUCUCAUGCGCAGUAGUUUGCACAACUCGCACCGGGAGCGCGGCGCGUCCACGUCCGUAAAACACCCAACUUCUGAAAUGUUGACCUCGGAUCAGGUAGGAAUACCCGCUGAACUUAAGCAUAUCAAUAAGCGGAGGAAAAGAAACCAACAGGGAUUGCCCCAGUAACGGCGAGUGAAGCGGCAACAGCUCAAAUUUGAAAUCUGGCCCCUAGGGUCCGAGUUGUAAUUUGUAGAGGAUGCUUUUGGUGAGGUGCCGCCCGAGUUCCCUGGAACGGGACGCCGCAGAGGGUGAGAGCCCCGUCUGGCUGGCCACCGAGCCUCUGUAAAGCUCCUUCGACGAGUCGAGUAGUUUGGGAAUGCUGCUCAAAAUGGGAGGUAUAUGUCUUCUAAAGCUAAAUAUUGGCCAGAGACCGAUAGCGCACAAGUAGAGUGAUCGAAAGAUGAAAAGCACCUUGAAAAGAGGGUUAAACAGUACGUGAAAUUGUUGAAAGGGAAGCGCUUGUGACCAGACUUGGGCGCGGCGGAUCAUCCGGGGUUCUCCCCGGUGCACUUCGCCGCGUUCAGGCCAGCAUCAGUUCGGCGCGGGGGAAAAAGGCUUCGGGAACGUGGCUCCUCCGGGAGUGUUAUAGCCCGUUGCAUAAUACCCUGCGCUGGACUGAGGACCGCUCAUCUGCAAGGAUGCUGGCGUAAUGG
This 1301-nucleotide ribosomal RNA is filed under the name Trichoderma atroviride. RNAcentral's name for it is "eukaryotic LSU rRNA". The stretch from base 689 to 1301 matches the Rfam family "Eukaryotic large subunit ribosomal RNA", at positions 1 to 637 of the family's 3401-position model. The record is from RNAcentral. Lineage: Eukaryota; Fungi; Ascomycota; Sordariomycetes; Hypocreales; Hypocreaceae.